GCCUAGCUGGCUCAGUGGUAGAGUAUGUGACUCUUAAUCUCAGGGUUGUAAGUUGGAGCCCCACAUUGGGUG
This 72-nucleotide transfer RNA is filed under the name Canis lupus familiaris (dog). It matches the Rfam family "tRNA". From Rfam's summary of the family: Transfer RNA (tRNA) molecules are approximately 80 nucleotides in length. Their secondary structure includes four short double-helical elements and three loops (D, anti-codon, and T loops). The record is from Rfam by way of RNAcentral. RNAcentral also lists the same sequence under 1 other name. Lineage: Eukaryota; Metazoa; Chordata; Mammalia; Carnivora; Canidae.